UUUUUUUUUUUUUUUUUUUUUUCUUGUCUGAGUCUCAUCAUGUUUCCCAACUUGUGCAA
This 59-nucleotide non-coding RNA is filed under the name Prorocentrum micans. The record is from RNAcentral. Lineage: Eukaryota; Dinophyceae; Prorocentrales; Prorocentraceae.